AACGGCGAGUGAAGCGGGAAGAGCUCAAAUUUGAAAGCUGGCACCUUCGGUGUCCGCGUUGUAAUCUCGAGAAGCGUUUUCCGCGCUGGACCAUGUACAAGUUCCUUGGAAUAGGACGUCAUAGAGGGUGAAAAUCCCGUACUUGACAUGGACGCCCAGUGCUUUGUGAUACGCUCUCCACGAGUCGAGUUGUUUGGGAAUGCAGCUCAAAAUGGGUGGUAAAUUCCAUCUAAAGCUAAAUAUUGGGGAGAGACCGAUAGCGAACAAGUACCGUGAGGGAAAGAUGAAAAGCACUUUGGAAAGAGAGUUAAAUAGUACGUGAAAUUGUCGAAAGGGAAGCGCUUGAAGUUAGACAUGCUUGUUGGGAUUCAGCCUUGCUUUUGCUUGGUGCAUUUCCCAGUUAGCAGGCCAGCAUCAGUUUUGGCUGUCGGAUAAGGGUAAGAAGAAUGUGGCCCCUUGGGGUGUUAUAGCUUCUUACUGGAUACGGCGGCUGGGACUGAGGACCGCAGUGCGCCUUUAUGGCGGGCCUUCGGGCACCUUCGCACUUAGGAUGCUGGCGUAAU
RNAcentral lists this ribosomal RNA (563 nucleotides) under Microstromatales sp. 11053. Its description in RNAcentral is "eukaryotic LSU rRNA". It matches the Rfam family "Eukaryotic large subunit ribosomal RNA", at positions 85 to 635 of the family's 3401-position model. RNAcentral also lists the same sequence under 1 other name. Lineage: Eukaryota; Fungi; Basidiomycota; Exobasidiomycetes; Microstromatales. The record is from RNAcentral.